RNAcentral lists this ribosomal RNA (500 nucleotides) under uncultured bacterium. RNAcentral describes it as "partial 16S ribosomal RNA". It matches the Rfam family "Bacterial small subunit ribosomal RNA", at positions 30 to 523 of the family's 1533-position model. The record is from RNAcentral.
AUUGAACGCUGGCGGCAGGCCUAACACAUGCAAGUCGAGCGGAUGACGGGAGCUUGCUCCUUGAUUCAGCGGCGGACGGGUGAGUAAUGCCUAGGAAUCUGCCUGGUAGUGGGGGACAACGUUUCGAAAGGAACGCUAAUACCGCAUACGUCCUACGGGAGAAAGCAGGGGACCUUCGGGCCUUGCGCUAUCAGAUGAGCCUAGGUCGGACUAGCUUGUUGGUGAGGUAAUGGCUCACCAAGGCGACGAUCCGUAACUGGUCUGAGAGGAUGAUCAGUCACACUGGAACUGAGACACGGUCCAGACUCCUACGGGAGGCAGCAGUGGGGAAUAUUGGACAAUGGGCGAAAGCCUGAUCCAGCCAUGCCGCGUGUGUGAAGAAGGUCUUCGGAUUGUAAAGCACUUUAAGUUGGGAGGAAGGGUUGUAGAUUAAUACUCUGCAAUUUUGACGUUACCGACAGAAUAAGCACCGGCUAACUCUGUGCCAGCAGCCGCCGUAA